UUUAUCCUAGUAUGGGUUUAACUUUACGGACAUUAAAUCGCUAUAAAAUGUUAGGUUUAUUAUAACUCUGUAGAGAUAGAAGCCCACGAUGAAGAGUACAUUUUAAAGAUACUUGUGCUUAAAUACUAUGAGUAUCUAAUAUACCCACACCACACGCAACGCAAUGGGUAUAAAAACGACGACCGACUGAGAGACAGCUUCAGUUCACAAAUGAUUAUGAUAAAAAACACAGCCACAAGAACGACAACUCUGGAACAGGGUAACAGACGGACGAGAGAAAGGCAGGAGGAGCAGCCGCUUGAAGGGCAUCGAGGGUAAAGAGGCUUAGACAGGCUCACAUGCUGAUGAACCGGCCCUGAUAGUGAACCCCCAACGAAAAAGGGGCGUGGCACAGUAGGGGCGCUCGCACAAAAGUGCACAGGAAAAUAAUAUGUAUUACAAUAUGAAAUAAUGCAUUGAGUCGAUUUGUUUGCCCCGAAAUAGUGAAACAUUCUGAACAUAUAAACAAUUUCAGUGCACCCAAAUACUUAUGCGAUAACGCCAGAGGCGCAAUGAAAUUUUCGGCUGGUGGAAGAAAUUAAGACAAAUCAAACAGGUUUCUCGCCGGUCCUGCACCCGCCACCCCUGCUCCUUCCUUCGAUCCGGCUCUUCAAACGGCGCACCGCCAAAAAGGUAGAAGGGGAUGGAAAAAAACCCGUGUGAAAAUGAGUGUAAAGGAAAACGACCCUCGGGAAUGUCGGUUAUUACAGAGCGGAAUAUACCCCUUUUUCCGGCAAACCGCAGAUAAAUCAAGGCAAAAACAAAGCUCAGCUGACAGGACGACGAGCCCGCAGAAGAUAACACUAGAAAUGCGUCAUAAUCCAGCAUUUCCCAAAUGCGAAGAAAGGCGAAGAAA
Long non-coding RNA from Drosophila erecta, 895 nucleotides. RefSeq lists it as uncharacterized. Lineage: Eukaryota; Metazoa; Arthropoda; Insecta; Diptera; Drosophilidae. The transcript is spliced from 3 exons. The record is from RefSeq and is a predicted model, not a curated record.